GACCCCAGGAGCGAGCGCAUCACAACACCCGUCCCGGCCCCAUGCGCGGCCCCAUGCACAGCCCCAUGCACGGCCCCCUGCCCGGGGCCGCGGCGGGCGAGCACCUUGGCUUCGCUCUGCCCCGUCCCCUGGCCGCAGCUCCAGCGGCCACCAAAACAAGGUCGGCGGAAAUCACUGCAGUCAGGAGGUCAAGGUCGCGUCUGUCACUGUUUUUACAGAGUAAAGGUCAGUGUCCGGCGAGGAGCUGACCGAGGCUUCGGACUGGCUGAAUGCUAUUUUUCCAGCAGGUGCCUCAACGAUUUCGUUUCCAAGAGUCUGGGCUCCGGAUUUCCUCGCACUUCCUCCACUCAGGAUCUGUGUGUCCACCCGAGAUGGCCCCUGAGGGACGCUGCACGACAGGCAUCAUCGGGUGAGCACUCACGGCCCACCCGCUGUGCGGGGGCCAGGUGCCAGCCCUGGACAGUUCACCCUGUUGUGCACUUGCCCGCGAGGCCCCCGCCUCCAGCCCACCCUGCCCUAGCUUGGCCUGUUCAGUUCCUCUCCGUCGCAGAUCGAUGUCCCCAAUGUUUCCGCUGCUUGCCUCAGAGCUGCCACAAACCAGAGCCGGCCAGAGAGAGCGCUCCCGCCCGUGGCCACAUACCCCAAACGGCGCGGGCCCUCCCGGGGGCCUCUGUGGGCCGUGCCUGUUUGUCUGUCCGCCCCUGGUGGCGGCUGCUCCUGAGCGCACCCCCAAGCCCAGGUCCCGUCACCCAAGUCCGUGCCACCGGGGGCGCAGGGUGGGCCCUAAGGGAAGCCCCUCCUCACCCACCUUGCAGAGGACUGGGCGCCAUGCCGCGCGUGGGUGAGGCCGCAGCCGCUGCCAAGGGGAUGGCGCAUUCGGGGAAGGACCCAGCGCUGUCCCGCCCGGAAGCUGGGAGGGCAGCCGGGGGACGGGAGAGAGGGGCCGUAGGUGCUGUGCGACGGGCUCAGGCCACCCGGGGAGGGGUGAGGCCUGCAGGGCAGAGAGCCAGGCCGAGACCCUCCCGCUAG
Molecule: long non-coding RNA, 1029 nt
Filed under: Canis lupus familiaris (dog)
Lineage: Eukaryota; Metazoa; Chordata; Mammalia; Carnivora; Canidae
Description: lncRNA (ENSCAFG00040007978.1)
Source: RNAcentral